Molecule: ribosomal RNA, 279 nt
Filed under: uncultured bacterium
Lineage: Bacteria
Description: partial 16S ribosomal RNA
Rfam family: Bacterial small subunit ribosomal RNA
Source: RNAcentral
UGCCAGCCGCCGCGGUAACACGGGGGGCGCAAGCGUUAUUCGGAAUUAUUGGGCGUAAAGCGCGUGUAGGCGGUUCGUUAAGUCUGAUGUGAAAGCCCGGGGCUCAACCCCGGAAGUGCAUUGGAAACUGGCGAACUUGAGUACGGGAGAGGAAAGUGGAAUUCCGAGUGUAGGGGUGAAAUCCGUAGAUAUUCGGAGGAACACCAGUGGCGAAGGCGGUUCUCUGGGCCGGCACUGACGCUGAGGAGCGAAAGCGUGGGUAGCAAACAGGAUUAGAUA